GUCUACAGUCAUGCUACCUGAAUAAGCCCGAUCCCAUCUGAUCUCAGAAGCUAAGCAGGGUCAGGCCUGGUUAGUACUUGGAUGGGAGACCACCUAGGAAGACCGGGUGCUGUAGGCA
This 118-nucleotide ribosomal RNA is filed under the name Pteropus alecto (black flying fox). The record is from RNAcentral. Lineage: Eukaryota; Metazoa; Chordata; Mammalia; Chiroptera; Pteropodidae.